CUCAAACUAGUAUGGUAGAUCCUCCUAUAAUGCUAGGGUCCCAGUCCUGGAAAAUGUCUCAUAAUGAGAAUCUACUUUACAAAGGCAGUAGACUUCAAAUUAAAUCUGGGAGUUAGAGAACCAUGGCCAAGACCUCCAUUGACCAGUCUUUUUCAAUACUACAUUGACUUGAAUGAGGAACAGCUCUCCAAAGCAGCUCAAUGAGGAAAAGGAACCUACAUUGAAAGGUGCACAGCACAGUCCCAUCUGGGAGCAAUGCCGGAACAUAUAAAUGCCAGGCCUGACACAUGCACCACAUAGAUGCCAGCCAAGAUGUUCGCAAUGCUCACCCACGCUCCAUUUUCUUUACACCUUGCAAUGCUGAACAGAUACCAGCUUCUCUAACAUCACAGCACAGAGUCUUCACAGAGUGUGCUCCUGAACACUCUGAAGUCAUUCAGGGCUGCCAGAUAAUCAGUCAGACUAAUUAUCCUAGCCUUAAAAAAAUCCAAAAAAAGCCAAGUGUCCCUGAUAUUUGGCUGAUUGUUAGCCAAAGUUUGCAGCCGUUACCCCACCACAUUAAAAAUGGAUUUCCCACCAACUACAAUGGUGGAACACAUUUCCCCCCACUAAAAUCGUGGUACACACAGUCUUUUUGCAGGCUGCAAAAAGAAGUCUUUGACUUCUCUCCAAAUCAAAGCAUAGAUUUCUCACAGGCUGCAAUGGUGAUGUCAGACUCCCCUCUCACAUCAAACGCACUGAUGCCAAACAAGAUGCUUAUCUUCUCCCCACACACACCCCAGAUAGGGGUUCAGUGCCAAAGUCUGGUAGGAAAAACACCAUCCUCUACCUCUGAUAAUUUCUCACAGAGUGUGUGGGAUGGCCAGAGAGCCCUGGAACCCCAAGAAACAGUUUCCCAUGGAACUGCCAUGAAAGCCUCGGCAGCAAAGCAGGACACUGCUGCCUUGCUGCCAGUGUGCUCUGGAACCAUACACACCCAAAAGCACUUUGUACUCACUCAGAAAUCUAAUCACCAACCACAGCACAGAUAUACUACAGCAAACAAUCAAAGGCACACAAAAG
This 1062-nucleotide long non-coding RNA is filed under the name Salvator merianae (Argentine black and white tegu). RNAcentral describes it as "lncRNA (ENSSMRG00000017925.1)". The record is from RNAcentral. Lineage: Eukaryota; Metazoa; Chordata; Lepidosauria; Squamata; Teiidae.